UUGAACUGUACGGGACAGCUGCAGAGAUGCAGUCUUCCUUCGGGACCCGUAUAGAGGUGCUGCAUGGCUACACAAAAGCUCGUGUCGUGAGAUAAAAAAGUUAAAAACACGCAACGAGCGCAACCCUUGCCUCCUGUUGCCAUCAGGUAAAGCUGGGCACUCUGGAGAGACUGCCGGUGAUAAACCGGAGGAAGGUGGGGAUGACGUCAAGUCCUCAUGGCCUUUAUGCCCCGGGCUACACACGUGCUACAAUGGCCGGUACAAAGGGUCGCAAAACCGUGAGGUGGAGCUAAUCCCAAAAAGCCGGUCCCAGUUCGGAUUUUUGCUCCGCUUCUCGCUGCAUGAAGUUGGAAUCGCUAGUAAUCG
RNAcentral lists this ribosomal RNA (366 nucleotides) under uncultured Acidobacteriota bacterium. RNAcentral describes it as "bacterial SSU rRNA". It matches the Rfam family "Bacterial small subunit ribosomal RNA", at positions 981 to 1344 of the family's 1533-position model. The record is from RNAcentral. Lineage: Bacteria; Pseudomonadati; Acidobacteriota.